CGGGUGAGUAAUGUAUAGGAACUUGCCUAGUAGUGGGGGAUAACGUGUGGAAACGCACGCUAAUACCGCAUACGCUCUACGGAGGAAAGCGGGGGAUCUUCGGACCUCGUGCUACUAGAUGGGCCUAUAUCAGAUUAGCUAGUUGGUAAGGUAAUGGCUUACCAGGGCGACGAUCUGUAGCUGGUUUGAGAGAAUGAUCAGCCACACUGGGACUGAGACACGGCCCAG
This 228-nucleotide ribosomal RNA is filed under the name uncultured bacterium. Its description in RNAcentral is "partial 16S ribosomal RNA". It matches the Rfam family "Bacterial small subunit ribosomal RNA", at positions 103 to 334 of the family's 1533-position model. The record is from RNAcentral.